AUGAUUAACGAAGGAAAAUUGCCUGAGGUGCAACAGUCUUCAGGUUCUCAUGGCUAUCGCACCAAAGUAUUUGGUUCUGGGACCAAACUCAUUGUAACAGAAACAGAAGCAAAACUCGAUUCCAAAAAAGUCCAGGUCCUGCCUCCUUUUACUGAAAAAGAUGGGAAAGUAACACACGUAUGCCUCAUUGAGGAUUUUUACCCAAAUGUUAUUAAAGUGACUUGGGACGUCGACAAGGAGAACGCAGAGAAAAAUGCAGUGCUUGGGGAAAUUUGGCCCCCUGAUGACAAUCGACAAUCAUACUCAAUAAGCAGCUGGCUGACCGUAGAUAAAAAUAGCAACAAGAAUUAUCACUGCAACUAUCAACAUGAAAAAGAUACUGGUUCUGUCGCUAUCAAAUCUCCAGGCACCUCCAUAGAGCCUCAAAGCACAGCAGACUGUACCAACAGACUUUUCAUAGAGCGGUUCAUGCACAGGACGGCAUAUUUAAUAUACAUUGUCCUUCUCCUGAAAAGCACCAUGUACUAUGUCAUCAUACUCUUCUUCAUGUACAGGAUGCAAAGUCCAAUCAAGCGCCAGGGAAAGAAACCUUAAACUUCUCCUUGCACCUUCCAAACUCAGCAUUUUUGUCUGAAAUUUACUUUGCUUUGCCCUAAGCCAGUUCAUAUGAAACCCCUGGCUCUAAAUAUCAAGAUGUGCAUUUCAAUUUGAUUUUGUUGGUUUAUUCUCUAGUUAGCACAGAUGGCUUCUUCUGCUUGAGAGUGAACAGUUUGACAUGUGUUCAUUUUUUCUAUUUUAUUCUUUUAAUUUUGUAACUGUAGAACUUAAAGGACUCCUUGAUUUCAAUGGGAAUUUUGCAUCACAAAUCAGUGCAGGAUCAGUCUCUUAGGCUCUUGUCCUGCAAAAACACUUGUGCACACAAGCAACUUUUUGGAUGUGGAUAGGCCAGCUGCAUUCAGUGAAGUCAAUGGAAAAAACUCACCGCUAUAAUCAUUAGCAGGCGUGGAGUCCUAAUCUGUCAUUUUAAAUCAUUUGUCAUUUCAUUUCUAUUAAUUUCAUUUAUUUCCUUUAUAAAACAAAAACAGGCUUUGAAAUAUGAGUAAUUGUUUUUUAAAAAUUGAAGAUUAAUGUAUUUUAAAUAAAAUUCAGCAUUACAAAAUAUUCUGUCCAGUUUAUUUAUUUAAAGGAAAUCUAAACACUUUUUAAAAAGAUUUUUCAAGACAGACAUACACAAGUCUGGAAGACAAUGGUAAAGCUCAACACCUACACUUGCCUCAUACAUGGCAAACUUCCAUAUUAUAUCUUUUAACAACAUACAAGUUAUAAUGAAUGAAAUACAAUCUUAACUAGAUAUACCCUCUUCAGUAUAUGCCUAAAGAAUUUCAAAAAGUGAAAUACUCUCUUCAAUGCAUACUGUAAGUUCAAACAGUUCAUUUUAAACCAAUAAAUAAAGGUAAGAGUUCUCGGGUAUCACUCUGAACUCCUCUCCAAACUUUGCACGUCCUUAUUUUGAUAAAAUCAUUAAUAUUAAUCUGUUCUAAAAUUUUUGUCCAAGUCUGGGCAAAUUAUUGGCAUAAGUACAAGCACAUUGGACCCUGAAUGUUUGCAGUAUCCAUAUAGGAAAAAUCAUAUUAACUGUAUUUUACAUAUAUACACAAUUAGCAGUAUAUCUUUUACUUCAAUAAUUUGUACAGCUAUGUGCUUAGUAUUCCCACAUCCUGUAUAAAGAUUAGACGGGCUCUGCAUACUUAUAUUUACUUCUCAAGAGGUUAAAAUUCUUUAAAGCAAACAAUUGUGUUAUUUCCUGAAUCAUACAUAGGAUGCGUUUUCCAUUAUUUAACCAACAAAACAAUUUAUAAAAUAAUUUCCUAUGGAACAGGGAAGUGGGAAACACAUACUGUAACUAAAAUCAUUCUGUUUUCAAAGGAUGACACAUUUUCAGGAAAACAAAGUAUUUUGUACCAAAUUCUGCCAUUCCCACUCAUUUUAGAGUAAUUUGCCCAAUGAAAUCAACAGGAUUAGUCAUAGAUUAGGAUACUACAUACUGUUCAAUAUAAGGGUGGAGAGUCUGGCCCUUAUUCAGUAGGUAAUGUCUUAGCCUUGAAACUUUUCAAACAUACUGGCAUUUAAAUUGGCUGGCUUGGGCUGCUUAAGUGAAAAUAAAUAGCUACAAAGCUAUCUGUGGACCAAAUACUUUAUAUACAAUUUCAAUGGACUCUAGUACACAUUUAUAUUUUGGAGAAAAACAAAACAAAACACACCUCUAUUGCUGCUGUUGCAGUCCAGAACACAAGAAGACACAGCACAAUCCACUAACUUUAAUAAGCCAAGUUUGUUCUGAUCAGGCCAGAUCCUCAGCUGAUGUAAAUUAUCAUAGCUCUGCAACUGAGAAUCAGGCCUGAGUUUGAAAGAAAAAUAUUUGUUUGAUGUUGUAUUAAAGCACCUACUACUUACCAUUGAGACUUAUUUUGUACUAUGAUUUCAUUUUGUUUGCACAACACCCUGAACAUGAUAGCAAGAGGGGAAACUUUAAAAAAAUUAAUUAGAUUGCAAUAAUUAGAUUUGUAGUGCCGAUUCUGCCCCCUCCAUUUGUUUUUAUGGGAGCUGUGUGCAUAGCCAUGAGCAGAACAGGUUUUUGUGUUUUUAAGCUUCUUGUGGAAAGGCCUUUGCUUACCCCAGCCCUGAGUGAAGUCAGCAUGUAGCAAUUACUGCGGUUUAUCAACUGUGUGGUAGCAAAUUUCACAGCUGCAAUGGCUCAUGUGCACCUAAGGUGACCUCCUGCUGCACUUUUACAUGCUGAACAUGGAAGCCGGGAGUUAUUUUAAGUAUUAUUUUUGAGGUUUGAGUUAUUUUGUUUGCUGGAAGAUGUGGUUAUUUAGUGGAAAAUUCUAUAAACUAAGCUAGUCAUUGCUGUUGCAGAAAAGGUAGCUUGUGAUUGGCGUGUGUGAUAACAUGAGGACAGUUAAACCACAGCCAGUCCUGCUCCCCACCACAUAUGUAUUUAUGAGCCACAGCUAAUGGAAAUACAAUGUAUUACAAAGACAUGCAUGAGUUGCAUGUAGAGAGUACUGUAACACUUCAUAGUCUAGCACUAUGGUAUUUGUAGAAGUAGUGCAGUUUAAUCUACAGUGUGUUGGAGGCACAUUAAUACAUACAGGCUACCAUUGCAAGACUAGGAGGACUGCAAGAAAGCUACAUGCACUGAUGUUCCUCCUUCCUAUCAUGGAGUCAUUACAUGAAGUUAGAUUUUGUCUAGUGAGUUUAAUACCAUUCAAGAGUUAACUAUCUUCUCAACUGUGAAGGCAAGCAUCCUAUCAUACUGUAUCCACGCCCACGGUUGAAUACGUAUUUUCUACCAGUUAUGAUUUCAUAGGUCACAGGGCCAGAAUUACAAUCCACAUUCAAUUAGGGCAAGUUACUAAGAAUUAUGAAUAAUGUACAAAUUCCACCCACCACACAUUGAUUAUAGAACAGCAAUUGUUGACAAAAACGCUAGAAAAAUGACAAGGGAGUCACAGUCUGAAGGAAGUGUGUGGUACUUCUAGAGAUAAACACCAUAUAGUCACUUCCUCCAGUAGAGCACAAGGAAGAUUCUUACACAGAAAGCCUGAAUAAUGUAAAACACCCUGAUACAUGUUAUGGCAACUACCUGUGGAUUAUUUUCCCCCUCAAGUAAGUGCUUCAUGCAACUCUGGAUGAAUAUGAUCUGCUAAUGGCUGUUAUAGAGCUGUGAAAAAAGCUGCUAUUUCACUUUGUUUUUCUACUUGGUAAUGUGUGGCUAGGUUUUGAAACUACUGCUAUCAUAUCACAGGUCACCUGCUACUCAUUAAACCCUGAAUAAAGCAUGGACACCCACAUAAUAAGGUAUAGGAGGAUGUCUGUUAUGCACCUGGGUGUUAAAAUUAACAAACAAAUGGCACAAGAUUUUGAAGUAACUAGUAAUUUGGGGGUAGCCAAUUUUUGACACCUUAAGUGUAGGUGCUGAGCACUUUCUGAAAAUCAGGGCCCCUUUGAGGUGUCCCAAGUUGAGCACCCAAAACUGAGACUCCCAAAAAUCACACCCAUAGGUUUAAAGUUUCUGUUUUCUCUGGCUAAUGCUAUUUAAAAAGGAGACUAUCAAUAAAAACUGAAUAGAUUUUCUGUCUGUGAAUAGUUUUCAUAUGGUAGGCCUUAAUUUCAUUUUAAAGUAGAUUACAGUUUCAACCCUCCCACAAUCCACAUAAUUAUUGCAGAAGCUCAUUUCCUGAAACUCUUCACCAAAACAGAGUUGUUUACUAUCUGCACUGAAAACUUUGUCCAAAACAUUUAUUAGAAUAAAUUCUACAUCUACCUCCUGCUUGAACAAACAGGAUUCUACUGUCGCACGGGCUAUAUUUAUAAAUUACACUCCACCACACUAGUCUGUCACAAUAGGCAGAAAUAAAUUAACUUUACGUGUAUGUCCCACAA
This is a non-coding RNA of Malaclemys terrapin pileata, 4449 nucleotides long. NCBI's taxonomy places the organism in Eukaryota, Metazoa, Chordata, Testudines, Emydidae. The record is from the annotation of a RefSeq genome assembly.